Molecule: ribosomal RNA, 253 nt
Filed under: uncultured bacterium
Lineage: Bacteria
Description: partial 16S ribosomal RNA
Rfam family: Bacterial small subunit ribosomal RNA
Source: RNAcentral
GACGAACCGUGCGAACGUUAUUCGGAAUCACUGGGCUUAAAGGGCGCGUAGGCGGCCGCUCAAGUCCGGGGUGAAAGCCCCCAGCUCAACUGGGGAAGUGCCUCGGAUACUGGGUGGCUCGAGGGAGGUAGGGGCGUGUGGAACUUCCGGUGGAGCGGUGAAAUGCGUAGAGAUCGGAAGGAACGCCGGUGGCGAAGGCGGAUCUCUGGGCCGUAACUGACGCUGAGGAGCGAAAGCAUGGGGAGCGAACAGG